CACGUAGUUAGCCGUGGCUUCCUCCUCAGGUACCGUCAUUAUCGUCCCUGAAGACAGAGCUUUACAACCCGAAGGCCGUCAUCACUCACGCGGCGUUGCUGCAUCAGGGUUUCCCCCAUUGUGCAAUAUUCCCCACUACUGCCUCCCGUAGGAGUCUGGGCCGUGUCUCAGUCCCAAUGUGGCCGAUCACCCUCUCAGGUCGGCUACGCAUCGUCGCCUUGGUGAGCCCGUUACCUCACCAACUAGCUAAUGCGCCGCGGGUCCAUCUCAUAGCGGAUUACUCCUUUAAUUGCUGUACCAUGCGGUACUACAAUCUUAUGCGGUAUUAAUCUUCCUUUGAAAGCUAUUCCCUCUAUGAGCAGGUUACCCAGUGUUACUCACCCGUCCGCCGCUAAUCCAUUCCCCGAAGGAAAUUCAUCGCUCGACUUGCAUGUGUUAGGCACGCGCCAGCGUCGUCCUCGAGCCACGGAGUACAAACGUACCUACUCGUAGACUCGCAACC
This 502-nucleotide ribosomal RNA is filed under the name uncultured Clostridiaceae bacterium. RNAcentral's name for it is "partial 16S ribosomal RNA". Lineage: Bacteria; Bacillati; Bacillota; Clostridia; Eubacteriales; Clostridiaceae. The record is from RNAcentral.